This 146-nucleotide ribosomal RNA is filed under the name Nannochloropsis granulata. Its description in RNAcentral is "partial 18S ribosomal RNA". It matches the Rfam family "Eukaryotic small subunit ribosomal RNA", at positions 1673 to 1824 of the family's 1831-position model. RNAcentral also lists the same sequence under 3 other names. The record is from RNAcentral. Lineage: Eukaryota; Eustigmatophyceae; Eustigmatales; Monodopsidaceae.
CCGUCGCACCUACCGAUUGAAUGAUUCGGUGAAGCUUUCGGAUUGCGCCACUGGCCUCGGUCGGCAGCGUGAGAAGUUAUCUAAACCUCAUCAUUUAGAGGAAGGUGAAGUCGUAACAAGGUUUCCGUAGGUGAACCUGCGGAAGG